CACGCUUUCUACGCGUAGGUUGUCCCUCAUGACCUCAAUCACCAUGUCCUCCCUCCAGCAGACCACGGUCCGGUUAUCUCCGGUGGCCAUCCUCUUUCUCGAUCUCACGCUGGCCUCCUACGGCAGCGGCUAGCUCGCCGUUACAUCCCAAUCAUGCGAGGCCGCUUUCUGAGUUUAUGUACCCCUGUUGCACAGUCCAGCCGGCCACACGGCCGUCUUUUCAUGGAUCUAGAUGCAUACUCCACUGCUUCUUGGCUCUAGAUCCAUGACCUCUAGAGCUUGGGAUGCCUGAUUGGUUUACUUAGUAUGAAAGGAAGAUGAAGUGAUCAUGAUGGCUUCUAAUGAGUUCAAUUUAGGCUAAUAGAGAUAAAAAUGGUUAAUGAAGUGGAUGAGGCAUACUGAUGUCAGUCAAAUUACGACCAUUGGUGAGGCCGCCGAGUGGAGCUACUACAAGAGACGGGCGCAGCAGCCCUCUGGUCAAUUCGUCAUCAGUCAAUAAGAGGGUAAUCCGAAUUCUGAAAUUUCAUUUUCUAUUUUCUAACCCAUCAAAUCAAUUUUAUGGCUUGAUUCUUGAGGUCAUGUUCAUCAGAAAUCUAUUUGCAAUUGUAUGUAACGUUGCUCCCUACAGUUUUAUCAAAUAGCCUUUAAUAUUUGGAAUUUACAGCUAUGGCCUAUAGACUAAAGAAUAAGGUAUUUUCAGCUUGAUAUUUGGGCAGUCUCGGCAGGUUCUUUUUUGCCCUGGUGUACAACAGCAAGAACUGCCGCAAUUAGCUUAUGUACUUGAAUGAAUCUUCCUCUUUUUAUGGAUCGCCGGUGUCAAUUUGUUCGGGUAGAGCCAUAUUUAUUUCUUGGGAAUCCAAAUUGAAAAAGUAGGCCUUUAUACCUUUUUUGUUUCUUACCACGAGAGGAUAUGGAUGACCAUCUCAAUCGGUGGCAAUCCAUUUAUUUUUAAAUCACAAUACAUCUUACCUUAUAUAUUUACUAAUUGGAAGCACUAAUCGAGACACCAUAUUAAUCCUAGAAAAUUAACAAAAUCAUCCAUCCGAUCUUACAGUUGCAUCUCUGGAGCCGUCGGAUGAAAUCCGUAGUCCCUAUGAACUAUCCCACAUGAGAAAGUUCCUUCUGGGCAUCUCCCUGAAAAAAAUAUUUCCAUCUCACCUCUUUCCCAUCUCUUCCACCCAUCCACGAUCUUCCUCCUCUGUCGCCUCUCCAUGCCCUCUUCUACCCAGCCCCGAUCUAUGCGGCAGACCUUGAAGAACGUGACCCAAUCUAAUACAGAUACAGGCAAUGCCAUGAAUCAUGAAGGUUUGAUAUAGGUGACUAUGUCUGUCCUCAACAUACCUGACGUUUGAUCAUUAUUACUGGACUACGCCCUGUCCAAAAAAUAUUAAUUAGGCAAACUGAAGCUAUGUUUAUUCCGUACAUUUUCUCAUGGUUCACGAAGAUAUAUGAAGCAGUUUGGCGAUCCCAAAAAUCAUUGAUCUAAUAUGUAGUUUUCAAUUAAUGAUUCCACUGUCAGUUUUCAUCACUUAUCUGCUCUCUUUUUAUCUGAAUUUUAUUUCUGAAAAACACAACACACACACAUGAGGUUGAAGGAAACAGAGAACAGAAAUUCAGUCAUAGAGAGAGGCUUUUGCCAUGCCAAAACUUGCGUCAUUUUUAGUCUUUCCUUUUAUUUCAUCGCUUAACUGAAUCAACGGGAAAUUUGCCACAAUCCAAUAGUUGCGCGUGCCAUCCCACGAGUUCGGAUUGUGCCGGGUCAAAAGCUAAUUAAACAAGCUAAAAUUAGGUCUGGGCCAUAGCAGGAACGCAGCAAGAUUCUGGCUACAGUAAACAUUCAGAUCAAAGAAACACGUGAUUGCUUAUGCAGCUACUGAAGAAAUAAGAGAAACUGAAGAAAAACUUGCAGACGUAUUGAGGUUAACAUCAACAUCCGCAAGCACGAAUCGUCCGGCAGAAAAACAGCAAGCAGCACCAGCCCUUCGUCAACUCUAAUAGUACUGAUGUACGUAUUCAAGUUCUUCUGUUUCACUUCCUUUUUGUUAUGGCCAUGAAAUAGCCAUGGUACGUUACUCAUUUUUGUUUCUUAUAUAUAGAUAUCUCUCCACAUGUUUCCAUGUGGUAGCCAUUGCUGUUUCUUUCCUUAUACGCAUAUUUGUUUACUAGGUCUGUUAACACGGGUGUCUCCCUAAGCUCCUAAAACAUUUACUAUGAAUUCUAUGGGCAGCCCCGUGCAUGUAGCUCCCGCUUGCGCAGGGUCGGGGAAGGGUCCGACCACUUUGGGUCUAUAGUACGCAGCCUUUCCUCACAUUUCUGUAAGAGGUUGUUUCCAGGACUUGAACCGUGACCUCAUGGUCACAAGGCAGCAGCUUUACCACUGCGCCAAGGCUCCCCUUCAUUUACUGUGAAUUCUAUAUCACAACAAAAUCAUUUUUUGCAAAAAAAAGGCCAUGUAGAAAGUAACCUGAUUUUCUGUCUUUUAUAUUAAAAUCUAAUAAAUAGUAAAUCGAAAAAAAAUUACUAUGUGCCAUCCGCAGCUCCUUACUGUUCUUUGCAUGUUGUAUAUUUAUAAUAUGAUUUGUAUUGAUAUUUGCAAUUUGCAUAUCAAGUAUUUAUAAUAUUAUUUUUUGGCUCAGUAUGUGUCAGUUAUAUGAUUGUGAUUUAGUGUAAUUAGAUUAUGGAGGUCCUUCUGUUUUUAGGCUAUCGUCAUGUUGGUGCAACAAAUAUCUACAUGACCAUGUACCUCUUAUGUGAUUAUCCAUUCUUUUAUUUCCAAGUAAAAUUCUACUUUAGGAUGGAUUGGCUAAGCUUUAAGAUUGACCCCAAGUCACUACAGGAUGCCUUGGUAUUGAUGGAAACAUUACGUCAGAUACAAAAAUAAAUGCAGAUUAAUGAGAUACAUAAUGCCUCAAAACCAAAGCUUGGUUGGUUCACAAAGUCCAAAAAGAUUUACAUCAAACUUAACAAAACUAAAUUGUUUCUACCCAAUUGUUUUCUAAAAGAUGUAAGCAUUCCGUUUUGCUUUUAGUUUUCAGUUUGGAGCUACCUGUUGAAUUAAUUUUGUUGGGUGCUCACUAACUAAGUUAUAAUUGUGCUCAACAAAUGUGUAUUGUAUAUGGGAUAAUACGUGGAUUAUGAUCUCAAGGGUGAAAAGAUAGAUUUACUACGUCUUGGAUUUUGAUUUUCCAAGGUAUUUUAGGGAUACACAAAUGUAGUUGUAAUGUCCAAAUAUUUAUUUCCUCAACAAGCUUCAUUAUGAUCUCAACGCUGAUUUAAUCUAUUCAUGAAAAUACCAAUUGUAUUUAAAGAAGAAAAAGCACUUAUUAUUUGAGUUCAGUCCAAUAUAUAGUAGCAGCAAAUACUGUUAUCUUCUAAUUCUCAGUUGUGAAUUAGUUUGAAUUUGUUGUGGUCUGUCCUAGAGAUAAUUAGACCGCUCAUGAAAUUAAGACUACACAUUUGUCAUGUUGCAAGUGUUUAAAAUGGCUGCUCUGACUACAUUUUCAUCUAAGGGUUACUCAUUUAAUUGUUACAUACUACUCUUUGGAGUACCUUUCAUGCCAAAGAAGAGUACUAUAUACAAACGUUUAAAGCCAAAUUCUCUUUUCGUGUGGUUUCCCUUCCAGUUUUAUAUCCUUAUAAUCCAGAGUAAAAAAAAGGCAGCCGGUGCAUGUAGCUCCCGCUUGCGUAGGGUCUGAUCAUAGAAAAAUAUUUUGUAGUCAUCUCAUAUAAUUUUGCAUGGCCGUUUUGCAAUGAUUAAUAGUACCCUCUUUUCCUAUCUACAGGUAAAUUGCAGGGUAGGGAAUCAAAUAUGAGCAUCAAGCAUGAUCAGAUAUAACUGCAAUCUUAGUUGUUAAAAAAUCAAAAUAUGAACUUCAUUUGUUGUUAAAUAUUCUAAAUCAUGUUCCCACAAAUGGCCACAACCAGGAUUAAUAUGAGAACUUUUAAAGAGGGUUAUCGUACAUGGUUUAAUUUUUUGCGAUACCGGUAGAACACAUGUAACAAUAAUGCAUUUGUACGGGUUUGUGCUUGCUUCCUCAACACAAAUUCAUGGGCAAGGCAAUCAGGAACUUUGUGCCACUUUUACUGGAAACCUAUGAUAUCCCACUGUUUUUUUUUUGACAGGCUCAACCUAUUUCUGGUAGCACUUGAAGCUACCAUGGUUUUUCGAUACCGAAAGACUUAUGUUUUUGCAUUUUCUUAUCCUUUGGCUUGAUCCCGACACGCUGAAUUUUCAUUUCGCAGCACUUACACUGCUUGAGGAACCGUGUCUCAUUGAAAGCUCAUAUGGUUUGAAAUCAAUGUUUAUAUGUAAAGAGAUUUGUCUCAGGUGCAACAAAAACAACACAUUAAUUUGGUGUGCAAGAGGCUGAUAACUAUUUGAUUCUUUUCUUGUCUCUCAGACAUGAUUAACUUUCUUACCUGUAGGAUUCUGUACUUUAUGACACUAUAGCUUCCUAUUAUCAGUGUUUUUUAGGAUGGUAUGACCAUGUACUGGAUGGUAUUUCACAACCUGAAUGGUCUUUACUUUUCUAAAAAAUCAUUGAAUUUAAUA
Triticum aestivum (bread wheat) is the source of this 4552-nucleotide long non-coding RNA. RefSeq lists it as uncharacterized. The record is from RefSeq and is a predicted model, not a curated record. NCBI's taxonomy places the organism in Eukaryota, Viridiplantae, Streptophyta, Magnoliopsida, Poales, Poaceae. The transcript is spliced from 2 exons.